CCUACGGGGGGCAGCAGUGGGGAAUAUUGGACAAUGGGGGCAACCCUGAUCCAGCCAUGCCGCGUGUGUGAAGAAGGCCCUCGGGUUGUAAAGCACUUUCAGUGAGGAAGAACGCCUGGUGGUUAAUACCCAUCAGGAAAGACAUCACUCACAGAAGAAGCACCGGCUAACUCCGUGCCAGCAGCCGCGGUAAUACGGAGGGUGCGAGCGUUAAUCGGAAUUACUGGGCGUAAAGCGCGCGUAGGUGGCUUGAUAAGCCGGUUGUGAAAGCCCCGGGCUCAACCUGGGAACGGCAUCCGGAACUGUCAAGCUAGUGUGCAGGAGAGGAAGGUAGAAUUCCCGGUGUAGCGGUGAAAUGCGUAGAGAUCGGGAGGAAUACCAGUGGCGAAGGCGGCCUUCUGGACUGACACUGACACUGAGGUGCGAAAGCGUGGGUAGCAAACAGGAUUAGAUACCCCGGUAGUC
RNAcentral lists this ribosomal RNA (465 nucleotides) under Vreelandella stevensii. Its description in RNAcentral is "partial 16S ribosomal RNA". It matches the Rfam family "Bacterial small subunit ribosomal RNA", at positions 338 to 795 of the family's 1533-position model. Lineage: Bacteria; Pseudomonadati; Pseudomonadota; Gammaproteobacteria; Oceanospirillales; Halomonadaceae. The record is from RNAcentral.